AGUUUUAUGGGUUUUAUGUGUAUUGAAACUUAAUCAUUACUGUUUUCAUGCAAUUACAUAAAUGUUUAACAUAUGUUACUUUAUACACUAUUUUUUUUUUACCUUUACAAUAGCACCAAUGUCAUCAUAUGCAGUACCAUCAGCAUCAAUAUCAUCUGCAGUACCAUCAGCAUCAAUAUCAUCUGCAG
Hydra vulgaris (swiftwater hydra) is the source of this 188-nucleotide non-coding RNA. Lineage: Eukaryota; Metazoa; Cnidaria; Hydrozoa; Anthoathecata; Hydridae. The record is from RefSeq and is a predicted model, not a curated record.